Molecule: transfer RNA, 76 nt
Filed under: Clostridiaceae bacterium
Lineage: Bacteria; Bacillati; Bacillota; Clostridia; Eubacteriales; Clostridiaceae
Description: tRNA-Ala
Rfam family: tRNA
About the family: Transfer RNA (tRNA) molecules are approximately 80 nucleotides in length.
Source: RNAcentral
GGGUUCGUAGCUCAGUUGGGAGAGCGCUGCAUUCGCAUUGCAGAGGUCGAGAGUUCAAAUCUCUUCGGAUCCACCA